GCAGAUUUGUUUCCACAGAGACAGAAAUGAUGCGACGGGCUUUCAGGCAGCUUUUCUUCUCAGCACGUGGACAGCAGACAGAGACGACAGAAAUGAGACGACGGGCUUUCAGGCAGCUUUUAUUCUCAACAUGUGGACAGCAGACAGCCCAGCCGGGUGGAGUUUGUACCUGCAGAUGAUGCUCUUCAUCUGGCUGUCCUUCUCCUCCUGCUGCCUCCUCAGUCUCUCCUCGCUGUCCUCCAGGCGGUGUUUGUACUCCAGCAGCAGCUUCUGCAUCUGCUGCUCCUGAGCCAGCAGCCGCCGCUCGUACUCCUCCAGACGGCGCCCGGACACCCGCAGCCGCUCCUUCAGCCGCGUGAUCUCCAGCUCGUACUGUCGGUGCAGGAGGGCGGGGUUAGUUUGAUGUGACGCCGCGUCGGGGUGGAGCUCCCACCGUUAAUGAUUUAUUUAUGCUCUGUACCUUUUCAGUGUUCCUGCUCUCCUCCCUGCUCCUCUCUGCUCCCUCCUCCUCAUCCUUCUCCUCGUACUGGCCGUUGUUGAGCACCCAGGCCGCCGUCCUCUCCACCGGGGACAACGCCACCGCCACCGCCUCCACCGGAGACACCACCUGAACACAAACCAGUGACAUCAGAUAUAAAAAUAUUUAAAGCU
Micropterus salmoides (largemouth bass) is the source of this 651-nucleotide long non-coding RNA. RefSeq lists it as uncharacterized. NCBI's taxonomy places the organism in Eukaryota, Metazoa, Chordata, Actinopteri, Centrarchiformes, Centrarchidae. The transcript is spliced from 3 exons. The record is from RefSeq and is a predicted model, not a curated record.